RNAcentral lists this ribosomal RNA (497 nucleotides) under uncultured bacterium. RNAcentral describes it as "partial 16S ribosomal RNA". It matches the Rfam family "Bacterial small subunit ribosomal RNA", at positions 28 to 507 of the family's 1533-position model. The record is from RNAcentral.
GAUGAACGCUGGCGGCGUGCCUAAUACAUGCAAGUCGAGCGAAAAGACGAGGAGCUUGCUCCUCUGACGUUAGCGGCGGACGGGUGAGUAACACGUGGAUAACCUACUUCUAAGACUGGGAUAACUUCGGGAAACCGGAGCUACUACCGGAUAAUAUAUUGAACCGCAUGGUUCAAUAGUGAAAGACGGUUUUGCUGUUACUUAUAGAUGGAUCCGCGCCGCAUUAGCUAGUUGGUAAGGUAACGGCGUACCAAGGCAACGAUGCGUAGCCGACCUGAGAGGGUGAUCAGCCACACUGGAACUGAGACACGGUCCAGACUCCUACGGGAGGCAGCAGUAGGGAAUCUUCCGCAAUGGGCGAAAGCCUGACGGAGCAACGCCGCGUGAGUGAUGAAGGUCUUCGGAUCGUAAAACCCUGUUAUUAGGGAAGAACAAAUGUGUAAGUAACUAUGCACGUCUUGACGGUACCUAAUCAGAAAGCCACGGCUAACUACGUG